UUCGAGCCGACGGGAUUGUCCUUCACACGCUCGCUGACAGCCAUGCGCCUCAAGGAAGCCCGCAGGCUGCUUGGGAUCACGCCGGCGCGGCAGGUCGCGGACAUCGCCUAUGCCUGCGGGUUCGACAGCAUCGCGACGUUCUACCGCGUUUUCCGCAGCGCCUAUGGCAUGACGCCGGGCGAUGUCCGGAUGAUCUCUCUCAACGCGUGAACCCUGUGGCCCCGGCGCCACAAGCCUGAAAAGACUCUGCUUUUGAGCAUUCGGACGGACCGUUUGCGCGCAAUGAGAAGACGGCUCUUUCCCGA
Molecule: unclassified non-coding RNA, 305 nt
Filed under: Hevea brasiliensis (rubber tree)
Lineage: Eukaryota; Viridiplantae; Streptophyta; Magnoliopsida; Malpighiales; Euphorbiaceae
Source: RNAcentral